AGGCUGUGUAGGAAUUUUGAUCUGGUUUCCCCGCUGGAACUUCUUCAGCCUUAUAAUCUUCCAGUGUCAUGAAUAGAAUUCCGUGAAGUGAGAAUUGAUUAGAAUUGUUGACUUCGUCAUUCAACAGCUCAUUAUCUUAUUGUGAAACUUCGUCUUUAAUUCACUGAAGUACAUCAAUCCACACUCACUAAAAAAAAUGUUAUUCCAGAAAGUGAACCGCUAAGUGCAAGAAGCUUGGGGAUGAAAUCACAUAUCUUGUUCAUCUUUUUAAGUCUGCAAUCACUUGGUGUUUGCCA
This is a long non-coding RNA of Argiope bruennichi, 296 nucleotides long. RefSeq lists it as uncharacterized. The transcript is spliced from 3 exons. The record is from RefSeq and is a predicted model, not a curated record. NCBI's taxonomy places the organism in Eukaryota, Metazoa, Arthropoda, Arachnida, Araneae, Araneidae.